RNAcentral lists this microRNA (22 nucleotides) under Gallus gallus (chicken). Its description in RNAcentral is "gga-miR-6680-3p". The record is from miRBase by way of RNAcentral. Lineage: Eukaryota; Metazoa; Chordata; Aves; Galliformes; Phasianidae.
GUUGCUGAUGAAGAUACUGAAU